GCGGGAGUGCCCGAGGGGACAAAGGGGGCGGGCAUUUUUGGCCCAGGCUUAAGAUCCGCUGCGGAUAGCUACGUGGGUUCGAACCCCACCUCCCGCA
RNAcentral lists this transfer RNA (97 nucleotides) under Thermoprotei archaeon. RNAcentral describes it as "tRNA-OTHER". It matches the Rfam family "tRNA". Rfam says of the family: Transfer RNA (tRNA) molecules are approximately 80 nucleotides in length. Their secondary structure includes four short double-helical elements and three loops (D, anti-codon, and T loops). The record is from RNAcentral. Lineage: Archaea; Thermoproteati; Thermoproteota; Thermoprotei.